Molecule: long non-coding RNA, 437 nt
Filed under: Hordeum vulgare
Lineage: Eukaryota; Viridiplantae; Streptophyta; Magnoliopsida; Poales; Poaceae
Description: long non-coding RNA (HVUL_LNC000323)
Source: RNAcentral
AGCCCAGUGGUUGUCUUCGUAUGGAACGAUCCAAGGGCUCUUGGGAUCGAAUCCCAGCUUGGCCCCAUUAUUUGUUUCCCCUGUUGUUGUUUUUAUUUUUAUUUUGCUGCACUAGGAUUUCAGAAAAAAACAUCGAUUUUCUAACACCCGUAGCUUUAAGACCGUGCACCGGAUCGAGACAAGUUAUAUAUGAAACUUGACUAGAAUUUCGCGUAGAUUAACAAUUUCCAACUCUCAUGCAUGAUUAAAACCGUUAAGCUUGAUGGUUGCAUCGUUUCGCGUGUCGUGUCGUGCUAAUACCGUUCUGCCCGUAACAUUUGAUCCGUACCUCCGUUGGAGAUGAUCUAUAUGUGUAAAUCGAGUAGGACGACGUGUAGAAUCACAUGCUCCACUUUGUUUUGCUGUUUAACAAACUUAAAAUGUGAUUAGGACAAAUC